RNAcentral lists this long non-coding RNA (363 nucleotides) under Bos taurus (domestic cattle). Its description in RNAcentral is "long non-coding RNA NONBTAT026239". Lineage: Eukaryota; Metazoa; Chordata; Mammalia; Artiodactyla; Bovidae. The record is from RNAcentral.
UCAAUGAAUAAUAAUGACUGUUAAAGAACCAUCUGUGCAAGUCUUUAUUUAUAUAGAUGCAAACCUGGCAUGGUAUGUCAAAAUAAAAAUGACAGCUACAUUGACUUUGGUUUUAUAUGUUCCCACUUGUCUUAUGCAAUGAUACCAAUAGUUGAGAUUUGCCUGCAAUACUAAUUAUGUAUGUUAAGACAAGCGUGAGUGGAGAUAAAGCCAGUGGUGGGCCAGGAGUGGAUGUCCUAAAAUAGCAUUGGGUCAAAAAGAAACCUUAAUUUCAUGGUGCCAGGUGGAAAAGGAUAUAGUUGGGACAGGGUGGAUUUUCUUCCUUAUGCCCUAUUUCUCCCAUGAUACAAAGUGCUACUGUUC